CGUGGGUAACCUGCCCAAGAGAUCGGGAUAACACCUGGAAACAGAUGCUAAUACCGGAUAACAACAGAUGAUGCCUAUCAACUGUUUAAAAGAUGGUUCUGCUAACACUCUUGGAUGGACCUGCGGUGCAUUAGCUAGUUGGUAGGGUAACGGCCUACCAAGGCGAUGAUGCAUAGCCGAGUUGAGAGACUGAUCGGCCACAUUGGGACUGAGACACGGCCCAAACUCCUACGGGAGGCAGCAGCC
Molecule: ribosomal RNA, 246 nt
Filed under: uncultured Lactobacillus sp.
Lineage: Bacteria; Bacillati; Bacillota; Bacilli; Lactobacillales; Lactobacillaceae
Description: partial 16S ribosomal RNA
Rfam family: Bacterial small subunit ribosomal RNA
Source: RNAcentral